This 433-nucleotide ribosomal RNA is filed under the name uncultured bacterium. RNAcentral describes it as "partial 16S ribosomal RNA". It matches the Rfam family "Bacterial small subunit ribosomal RNA", at positions 29 to 507 of the family's 1533-position model. The record is from RNAcentral.
AACGAACGCUGGCGGCAUGCCUAACACAUGCAAGUCGAACGAGACCUUCGGGUCUAGUGGCGCACGGGUGCGUAACGCGUGGGAACCUGCCCUUAGGUUCGGAAUAACUCCCCGAAAGGGGUGCUAAUACCGGAUAAUGUCUUCUGACAAAAGAUUUAUCGCCUUUGGAUGGGCCCGCGUUGGAUUAGCUAGUUGGUAGGGUAAAAGCCUACCAAGGCGACGAUCCAUAGCUGGUCUGAGAGGAUGAUCAGCCACACUGGGACUGAGACACGGCCCAGACUCCUACGGGAGGCAGCAGUGGGGAAUAUUGGACAAUGGGCGAAAGCCUGAUCCAGCAAUGCCGCGUGAGUGAUGAAGGCCUUAGGGUUGUAAAGCUCUUUUACCCGGGAUGAUAAUGACAGUACCGGGAGAAUAAGCUCCGGCUAACUCCGUG